Molecule: small nuclear RNA, 103 nt
Organism: Sarcophilus harrisii (Tasmanian devil)
Lineage: Eukaryota; Metazoa; Chordata; Mammalia; Dasyuromorphia; Dasyuridae
Source: Ensembl
AUUCUUUAUACAGAGCACAUAUACUAAAUUGGAAUGACACAGAAGAUUAACAAUGCCCCUGGGCAAAGCUGUCAUGCAAAUUCAAGAAGGAUUCCAUAUUUGU